Molecule: ribosomal RNA, 1123 nt
Filed under: Fusarium solani
Lineage: Eukaryota; Fungi; Ascomycota; Sordariomycetes; Hypocreales; Nectriaceae
Description: eukaryotic LSU rRNA
Rfam family: Eukaryotic large subunit ribosomal RNA (bases 508-1123)
Source: RNAcentral
ACGUGUGGGGACGCGGGGGACAUUACCGAGUUAUACAACUCAUCAACCCUGUGAACAUACCUAAAACGUUGCUUCGGCGGGAACAGACGGCCCCGUAACACGGGCCGCCCCCGCCAGAGGACCCCCAAGCUCUGUUUCUAUUAUGUUUCUUCUGAGUAAAACAAGCAAAUAAAUUAAAACUUUCAACAACGGAUCUCUUGGCUCUGGCAUCGAUGAAGAACGCAGCGAAAUGCGAUAAGUAAUGUGAAUUGCAGAAUUCAGUGAAUCAUCGAAUCUUUGAACGCACAUUGCGCCCGCCAGUAUUCUGGCGGGCAUGCCUGUUCGAGCGUCAUUACAACCCUCAGGCCCCCGGGCCUGGCGUUGGGGAUCGGCGAGGCGCCCCCUGCGGGCACACGCCGUCCCCCAAAUACAGUGGCGGUCCCGCCGCAGCUUCCAUUGCGUAGUAGCUAACACCUCGCAACUGGAGAGCGGCGCGGCCACGCCGUAAAACACCCAACUUCUGAAUGUUGACCUCGAAUCAGGUAGGAAUACCCGCUGAACUUAAGCAUAUCAAUAAGCGGAGGAAAAGAAACCAACAGGGAUUGCCCCAGUAACGGCGAGUGAAGCGGCAACAGCUCAAAUUUGAAAUCUGGCUCUCGGGCCCGAGUUGUAAUUUGUAGAGGAUGCUUUUGGUGAGGUGCCUUCCGAGUUCCCUGGAACGGGACGCCAUAGAGGGUGAGAGCCCCGUCUGGUUGGACACCGAUCCUCUGUAAAGCUCCUUCGACGAGUCGAGUAGUUUGGGAAUGCUGCUCUAAAUGGGAGGUAUAUGUCUUCUAAAGCUAAAUACCGGCCAGAGACCGAUAGCGCACAAGUAGAGUGAUCGAAAGAUGAAAAGAACUUUGAAAAGAGAGUUAAACAGUACGUGAAAUUGUUGAAAGGGAAGCGCUUGUGACCAGACUUGGGCUUGGUUGAUCAUCCGGGGUUCUCCCCGGUGCACUCUUCCGGCCCAGGCCAGCAUCAGUUCGCCCUGGGGGACAAAGGCUUCGGGAAUGUGCUCCUCUCCGGGGAGUGUUAUAGCCCGUUGCGUAAUACCCUGUGGCGGACUGAGGUUCGCGCAUCGCAAGGAUGCGCGAAGCACUGAGUC